CUGAUGCAGCGACGCCGCGUGUGGGAGUAAGCCCUUCGGGGUGUAAACCACUGUCAGGGACUACCAAGCAAUGGAGGUGAAUAAUCUCCUGCGUUUGAGGCGUCCCAGAGGAAGUCACUGCUAACUUCGUGCCAGCAGCCGAGGUAAUACGAAUGUGGCAAGCGUUGUUCGGAAUCACUGGGCUUAAAGAGCACGUAGGCGGACUGUCGAGCGUCUUGUGAAAUCCCUCGGCUUCACCGAGGAAUUGCUGGGCGAACUGACAGUCUUGAGGCAAGUAGGGGCGCACGGAACUCUUGGUGGAGCCGUGCAAUGCGUAGAUAUCAAGGAGGAACGCCAGAGGCGAAGGCGGUGCGCUGGGCUUGACCUGACGCUGAGGUGCGAAAGCCAGGGGAGCGAACGGGAUUAGAUACCCCGGUAGUCCUGGCCAUAAACGAUGUCUACUAGAUCUGAGGUGUUCUGACACACUUCUGGUCGAAACAAAAGCGUUAAGUAGACCGCCUGGGGAGUACGGUCGCAAGGCUAAAACUCAAAGGAAUUGACGGGGGCUCACGCAAGCGGUGGAGCAUGUUGCUUAAUUCGAUGCAACGCGAAGAACCUUAUCCUGGGCUUGACAUGCUUGGAUGCCCAUCUAGAAAUAGAGUAGGCUGCCCUUCGGGGUGAAACUUGCACAGGUGCUGCAUGGCUGUCGUCAGCUCGUGUCGUGAGAUGUUGGGUUAAGUCCCGUAACGAGCGAAACCCUUGUCGUUAGUUGCCAGCGAGUAAAGUCGGGGACUCUAACGAGACUGCCGGUCGCUCAACCGGAGGAAGGUGGGGAUGACGUCAAGUCCUCAUGGCCUUUAUGCCCAGGGCUGCAAACGUGCUACAAUGGCGUGUACAAACCGACGCAAGACCGCGA
RNAcentral lists this ribosomal RNA (895 nucleotides) under uncultured organism. RNAcentral's name for it is "bacterial SSU rRNA". It matches the Rfam family "Bacterial small subunit ribosomal RNA", at positions 383 to 1260 of the family's 1533-position model. The record is from RNAcentral.